UACGUAGGGGGCAAGCGUUAUCCGGAUUUACUGGGUGUAAAGGGAGCGUAGACGGCUUUGCAAGCCAGAUGUGAAAGCCCGGGGCUCAACCCCGGGACUGCAUUUGGAACUGUAUGGCUGGAGUGUCGGAGAGGCAGGCGGAAUUCCUAGUGUAGCGGUGAAAUGCGUAGAUAUUGGGAGGAACACCAGUGGCGAAGGCGGCCUGCUGGACGAUGACUGACGUUGAGGCUCGAAAGCGUGGGGAGCAAACAGG
RNAcentral lists this ribosomal RNA (253 nucleotides) under uncultured bacterium. RNAcentral describes it as "partial 16S ribosomal RNA". It matches the Rfam family "Bacterial small subunit ribosomal RNA", at positions 524 to 776 of the family's 1533-position model. The record is from RNAcentral.